RNAcentral lists this long non-coding RNA (2151 nucleotides) under Piliocolobus tephrosceles (Ugandan red Colobus). RNAcentral describes it as "lncRNA (ENSPTEG00000014758.1)". The record is from RNAcentral. Lineage: Eukaryota; Metazoa; Chordata; Mammalia; Primates; Cercopithecidae.
AUGGCCGUACCUUUAAGAAACCUAGAUAAAAACACGACCACCUACCAGCAUAAUAAUAAUAAUAAUAAUAAUAAUAGUAGUAGUAGUAUUAUUAUUACUACUCCUAUUGCUAGUAAUAACAUCACCAACAAUAAAAAUGAUAUUAAGAGUAAUAUAAAUUGUCAAACAAUACAUAAUCCUAACGAAACAAAUUAUACAACCAAUCCCGCUUAUAAUANNNAUAAUUCCGCUUAUAAUAUAAAUAAUUCCGCUUAUAAUAUAAAUAAUCCCACUAAUAAUAAUAUAAAUUAUAGUAAAAAUAAUUCUACUGAUUUGAAUGAUGCUAACAAAUAUAGACCAAGAGAAGAUACAAAAUGUACAAUAAAUAGUAGUAAUACAUCUUUAGUAAAUUCAAAAAAAAAUGAUAUAUUAAAUAUGAAUGAUACAACUUUAAAUGGUAAUAUAUCAGAUAAUGUAAGUACAGCAAGUAUUGCUAAUAGUUCGACUACUCCAUUUAUUAGAAACACAAGUGGUACUACAUAUAGUACAGGAGUAGAUGGAAUAAAUAUAGAAGAGUUAUACGAAUCUGUUCAAAAUGAAAUAAUAAUUUAUAAAAAUACAAUUAUUCAAUUAAAAAUGGAAUUACAAUUAAAAAAUAGUUAUUUAGAAAAUGAAAAAAAAAAAAAUGAACAAUAUGAACAGUUAAUACAAAAAUAUAUAAAUAAUGAUAUAAAUAAUUAUAACAAUAAUAAUGGUAAUAAUAAUAUUGAUACAUCUUUAACAGUAUUAAAUGUGUCCAAAAUGGAAAUGAAACAAAUGAAACAAGAUUUGUUAUUAAAAAGUAGUGAAAUUAUAGAAUUAAAUCAUGUUAUUAAUAAUUUAAAAAAACAAAAAACAAUAGUUCAUACAAGUAUACAAAACGAAUUAGAAAUAAGAAUAAAAAAAGAAAUGGAAUGUAAUUUAUUAUUACAAGCACAAACAAAACGAUUAAAUAAUGCUAAUAAGUUUAUAGAAAAACAAAAUACAGAAAUAGUAGAAUUAAAAAAAGAAUUAGAAACAAAUAAAAAUGCAUAUGUUGAACAUAUACAACAAAAUGAAAAAACUAUGUUAGAAUUAUUAAAAGAAAAAAAAGAAUUUAUAAAAAUCGCUGAAAAAUUAGAUAUAAUCAAUAUUGAUAAUAAAAAUAAACAAAAAGAAAUUAAUAAAUAUAAAAAUAAAUGUAAUGAAUUAAAUGAAGAAUUAAAUGAAUUGUUAAAAAUUGUAUCUUUAGAUCAAGAAGAUCGAGAAAAAGGAUUAAAUAUAUUUUAUAAAAAUAAUUAUUUAUCAUUUAAUGAUGAUAAUAAUAAUAUGAAUGAUUCUUUUACUUCUUAUAAUUGCGAUUUACAAAAAAAAGGAAAACACAACAACAAUAACAGCAGUAAUAAUAACAACGACAGUAAUAACUACGUUAAUAAUAACAAUCUUACACAUAUAAUGACCGAAACGUAUGAUAACAACCAAUUUAAUAAUAAUAAUAAUAAUUCUGUUUUACGAAGUAGUACAAUUAUGAGUGAAGAAGCGAUUGUAUUAAAAAAACAAAUAAACAAAUUAUUAAGUGAAAAAGAGUUACUAGAAAAAAAAUUAAAUGAAGUAAUACAAAUAAAUUCAACACUAGUACAAGAAGUAAAAGAAAAAAGUAAAUUAAUAUUGGAACAAAAUGAAAAUUAUUCUAAAUUAUUAGACAAAUAUAAUAUACUUGAAAAAGAUUUUGAAAAUAUACAUAACUUAUGUAUACAAUUAGAAGAAAAAUUUAAAGAAGGUUUUAGUAAUAGUUAUUUAAAUACAAAAAGUAUUAAUUUACUAAAUAAAAGUAAUUUUUCUUUAAGUGAAUUGCAAUUAUAUGAUAAUAAUAAUAAUGAAAAUAAUAAUGAAAAUAAUAAAACUGAUGAAAAUAUGUUAUCAAAUAGUGCUCAUAAUGUUGGCUAUUAUAAAAUUUAUUGUUCUGAACUGAAAUUAGAAAAUGACUCAUUAAAAAAUACGAUACAAAAAUUAAAAAUUAAAAAUAAAACUUUAUCUGAAAAUAUGGAAGCUUUACUGAAUGAUUUGAUGGAGGCAUCUGUAGAAGCGGAAGGAGAGGAAGGAGCUGGCAGUGGUGAUGGUGAUGAAGAUGGUGAUGGAGAUAGAGAUGGUGAU